Molecule: transfer RNA, 62 nt
Filed under: Loxodonta africana (African savanna elephant)
Lineage: Eukaryota; Metazoa; Chordata; Mammalia; Proboscidea; Elephantidae
Rfam family: tRNA
About the family: Transfer RNA (tRNA) molecules are approximately 80 nucleotides in length. Their secondary structure includes four short double-helical elements and three loops (D, anti-codon, and T loops).
Source: Rfam by way of RNAcentral
UAGAAGUUCAGUGGUAGAAUUCUCGUCUUCCAUGCAGGAGACCCAGGUUCAAUUCCCGGCUA